GGGGAAUUUUGGACAAUGGGCGCAAGCCUGAUCCAGCCAUUCCGCGUGCAGGAUGAAGGCCCUCGGGUUGUAAACUGCUUUUGUACGGAACGAAAAGCCUUCUUCUAAUACAGGAGGGUCAUGACGGUACCGUAAGAAUAAGCACCGGCCAACUACGUGCCAGCAGCCGCGGUAAUACGUAGGGUGCAGGCGUUAAUCGGAAUUACUGGGCGUAAAGCGUGCGCAGGCGGUUUGCUAAGACAGGUGUGAAAUCCCCGGGCUUAACCUGGGAACUGCGCUUGUAACUGGCAAGCUUGAGUGCGGCAGAGGGGGGUGGAAUUCCACGUGUAGCAGUGAAAUGCGUAGAUAUGCGGAGGAACACCGAUGGCGAAGGCAAUCCCCUGGGCCUGCACUGACGCUCAUGCACGAAAGCGUGGGGAGCAAA
This 424-nucleotide ribosomal RNA is filed under the name uncultured bacterium. RNAcentral's name for it is "bacterial SSU rRNA". It matches the Rfam family "Bacterial small subunit ribosomal RNA", at positions 356 to 772 of the family's 1533-position model. The record is from RNAcentral.